This is a long non-coding RNA of Stegodyphus dumicola, 2187 nucleotides long. NCBI's taxonomy places the organism in Eukaryota, Metazoa, Arthropoda, Arachnida, Araneae, Eresidae. The record is from RefSeq and is a predicted model, not a curated record.
AUAUGGAAUAUAAGAUAAAAUAUAAAUUUUUCUGAUGUAACUUCUCUGUUUAAAAGGUAUGUAUGAGUUUUUAAAAUGUUUUUAUACUAUUAUUUUGAUUAGAUGUAUGAGUAUAGGAAAAUCACUUGAAAUACCUUCUUCGUAUAUUGUUAGUUUUCAGUAUGUCAGAAUGUAAUAGAAAAAUGAAACAGCAUAUAUAUAUAUUUUUUUCCCUCAAGUGAAGGUAUUAGUCAAGCUUAACUUUCAGUCUUUUUAUGAUAUUUUGAUUCUCGGUUCUUUAAAACAUGGUUUAUCAUUAUAAUGUCAGUUUUUAAUCUCUUUCUCCCUCAUUUUUCUCAGACAGAUAUUAGUCAUCCACGUAUAGUCAAAGUGGAACCCAUCUCUGAUAAUGAAGCUUCAAAUAUAAAUGGUUUCGAAAUAAGUGAUUCCUCAAAUGAUGUUUGUACAUCACCAAAUAUUGGUAAUUUAGAAAUAGUGAUUAAACAAGAAAUAGAUGGUGAUUCUUGAGGCUUUGAGAACAUAUAUUACUAAGAUUUUCCAACUAUGCAUGAAAAUAAAUGCAUUUUUCUUCAGUAAUGGACCAACCUGCAUAUUGGACCUAUUUGGACUUUAAAUGCUGUCUUAUUAUUAAUUUUGUAGCUGCUACUUGAAAAUUGUGUGAAAUGUUUGAGCAAAAGUAUUUUAUAAAUAUUAUUUGAUAUUUUAUUUAUAUUUUUAUGAUUUAAUCUAAUCAUGAAAGGUUCCUAACUGCAUUGUAUACAAAAAUUUCAGACUUUCCAACAUUUAUAGUGUAGAACUGAAGAUUAUAUUUGAUGUCAUAAAAUUAUGAUGGCCAUUUUGUCUGGUUAUAUUCCUUUAUUUAAUACUGAAUAGGAUAUUGAAAUGAUAAUGAUUCAGUUUUUGAAAUGAUUUAAGGUUCCCUUGCAGGUGAAAAGUGUGUGUCCUGCUGUUAGGCAUAUAUUCUCAAUACCAUUUACUACUGCAUGGUUUUCCUUCAUAAUGCAUUUCACCUUAAGUGGAUACAUAUAAAGUAUUUUCAGUUUCAAUAUGACUUUGAAAAUAUUUCUUCUGUUAAUAAUUUGAAUGUUAAAUGUAACAGAAUGCAUUUAAAUGUGAAAUGUGUUUACAUAAAAAUUGCACAUGCAUAUCUUUUUUUGGAGAGUAAGUUUCUUUAUGCAUGUGUUUAGAAGAAAUUAUAAAAAAAUAUUUAGGAAAAAUUGCAUUAUUAAAAAAGUAAAUAAAACGUUCAAACGAAAAUUGCAUAAAAGAAGAGUGAACUGUAUUUUUGUCACAGAAUAAGUCAUAUGUACUUAGUCUCGUAUAUGUAUGGUUAGCUUUUCUUCAUUAGUUUUAAUUUUCUUCAGUUUUUACAUGUAUUUUCAGUUAAAAGUGGUAUUCCAUUGAGAAUGUCUAAAGCUUUUCAGCCUCAGAUAUUAAGCAUAAAUGCUAAAAUACGAAAAGCUACUCUAUUUGAGAUGUAUUUGAAACUACUAAAAAUAGUACACAUUUCCUUUACCUAGUCACUAUUAUGUUUGAAUAAGUAAAUUCUUUUUGAUUAAAAAAAAAUCUCACUUUCCUCCUGUCUUAGCAGUUCUUAAAUUCAUACAACAGCAGUAUAUGUGGUUAAGUAAUGAUUUUGUCAAUCUUAGCCUAUACUAUAGUCUAUUACUUUAGAAUAGGCUGUUUUUCUCCUUGCUUCCACCAUGACUCAAAACAAUGGCAGUGACUGCUAGGGAAAAAAGGUCAAAUCCAGUAAUUUAUUAAAAUCCCAUAAGUUCCUGUGUAGAGUGACGAUAAAAAUAUGAUACAUUAUGAUUACAAAUGAAGAGAGGGUUGCUAUGACCUUAAAAUGUUUGUUUUAAAGUAACAAACUAUACUUUAGUAAUUUAAAUUUUGUCUCGCUUAUAAUUUUUUUCACAUGUAAUGUUGGCAGGUCUGGAAUUUGUAAGUCCUACAUUGAAAAUUAAUUUAUUUUGUGAGUUGAAUUCAGGGUCUUAUUUGCUUGUUUCAUUUUCCUUAAUAUUUAAAAAUUGAGGAAAUUAUCAUUUAUCGACAUUUCUCACCGAAUAUCUAUUAUAAAAGACUUGUGAUAAAAUGUUGACAAAAAGAAAGUAUUUUUGAUGCUUAUGCAUUUGAAAUGUAUGUAUUAUUAAUUUUUGUUUAUGAAAUUAAAAAUAUAUUUUACUA